UACGAAGGGGGCUAGCGUUGCUCGGAAUGACUGGGCGUAAAGGGCGCGUAGGCGGGUGGUACAGUCAGAUGUGAAAUUCCUGGGCUCAACCUGGGGGCUGCAUUUGAUACGUGCUGUCUUGAGUUCGGAAGAGGGUCGUGGAAUUCCCAGUGUAGAGGUGAAAUUCGUAGAUAUUGGGAAGAACACCGGUGGCGAAGGCGGCGACCUGGUCCGAAACUGACGCUGAGGCGCGAAAGCGUGGGGAGCAAACAGG
RNAcentral lists this ribosomal RNA (253 nucleotides) under uncultured bacterium. RNAcentral's name for it is "partial 16S ribosomal RNA". It matches the Rfam family "Bacterial small subunit ribosomal RNA", at positions 524 to 776 of the family's 1533-position model. RNAcentral also lists the same sequence under 1 other name. The record is from RNAcentral.